Molecule: ribosomal RNA, 1018 nt
Filed under: Cytophagia bacterium enrichment culture clone EC8-10-1_F9
Lineage: Bacteria; Pseudomonadati; Bacteroidota; Cytophagia
Description: bacterial SSU rRNA
Rfam family: Bacterial small subunit ribosomal RNA
Source: RNAcentral
GACGAACGCUGGCGGCGGGCCUAACACAUGCAAGUCGAAGGGGAUUCAUGAAGCUUGCUUCAUGAUGAGACUGGCGUACGGGUGAGUAACACGUAAACAAUCUGCCUACAGAAGGGGGAUAACUCCGGGAAACCGGGGCUAAUACCGCAUAAUGCAGCGGGGCCACAUGGCCACAGUUGUUAAAGCCUUUCGGGGCGUCUGUAGAUGAGUUUGCGCAGCAUUAGUUAGUUGGCGGGGUAACGGCCCACCAAGACGAUGAUGCUUAGGGGUUCUGAGAGGAUGAUCCCCCACACUGGCACUGAGACACGGGCCAGACUCCUACGGGAGGCAGCAGUGAGGGAUAUUGCGCAAUGGGCGAAAGCCUGACGCAGCCACGCCGCGUGCCGGAAGAAGGUUCUUUGAAUCGUAAAUGGCUUUUGUCGGGGAAGAAAGAUCUGGAUUGGUCCGGAUUUGACGGUACCCGUUGAAUAAGCACCGGCUAACUCCGUGCCAGCAGCCGCGGUAAUACGGAGGGUGCAAGCGCUGUCCGGAAUCAUUGGGUGUAAAGGGUGCGUAGGCGGAAGCUUAAGUCUGUGGUGAAAUCUUACCGCUCAACGGUAAAUGUGCCAUGGAUACUGGGUUUCUUGAGUGUGACAGAGGCAGGUGGAAUUCGUAGUGUAGCGGUGAAAUGCAUAGAUAUUACGAAGAACACCAGUGGCGAAGGCGGCCUGCUGGGUCACAACUGACGCUGANGCACGAGAGCGUGGGGAGCGAACAGGAUUAGAUACCCUGGUAGUCCACGCUGUAAACGAUGUAUACUANGUGUUGGGCGUCCUUCUGGGGCGUUCAGUGCUGCAGCUAACGCAUUAAGUAUACCACCUGGGGAGUACGUUCGCAAGAAUGAAACUCAAAGGAAUUGACGGGGGCCCGCACAAGCGGUGGAGCAUGUGGCUUAAUUCGAUGCAACGCGAAGAACCUUACCCGGGCUAAAUCUGUGAUGACCGCCCCCGAAAAGGGGCUUUCCUUCNGGACCAUCAUG